CUAGCGAGACUGCCGGUAAUAAACCGGAGGAAGUGGGGAUGACGUCAAAUCAUCAUGCCCUUAUGACCUGGGCUACACACGUGCUACAAUGGUUGGUACAACGAGUUGCGAGUCGGUGACGGCGAGCUAAUCUCUUAAAGCCAAUCUCAGUUCGGAUUGUAGGCUGCAACUCGCCUACAUGAAGUCGGAAUCGCUAGUAAUCGCGGAUCCGCACGCCGCGGUGAAUACGUUCCCGGGCCUU
This 241-nucleotide ribosomal RNA is filed under the name uncultured Streptococcus sp. Its description in RNAcentral is "partial 16S ribosomal RNA". It matches the Rfam family "Bacterial small subunit ribosomal RNA", at positions 1140 to 1382 of the family's 1533-position model. Lineage: Bacteria; Bacillati; Bacillota; Bacilli; Lactobacillales; Streptococcaceae. The record is from RNAcentral.